Molecule: transfer RNA, 76 nt
Filed under: Akkermansia muciniphila
Lineage: Bacteria; Pseudomonadati; Verrucomicrobiota; Verrucomicrobiia; Verrucomicrobiales; Akkermansiaceae
Description: tRNA-Trp
Rfam family: tRNA
About the family: Transfer RNA (tRNA) molecules are approximately 80 nucleotides in length. Their secondary structure includes four short double-helical elements and three loops (D, anti-codon, and T loops).
Source: RNAcentral
GUGGGAAUAGCUCAGUUGGUAGAGCAGUGGUCUCCAAAACCACGGGCCGGAGGUUCGAGCCCUCCUUCCUGCGCCA